UUAAGCGACUAAGCGUACACGGUGGAUGCCCUGGCAGUCAGAGGCGAUGAAGGACGUGCUAAUCUGCGAAAAGCGUCGGUAAGGUGAUAUGAACCGUUAUAACCGGCGAUGUCCGAAUGGGGAAACCCAGUGCAAUUCGUUGCACUAUCGUUAACUGAAUACAUAGGUUAACGAGGCGAACCGGGGGAACUGAAACAUCUAAGUACCCCGAGGAAAAGAAAUCAACCGAGAUUCCCCCAGUAGCGGCGAGCGAACGGGGAGCAGCCCAGAGUCUGAAUCAGCUUGUGUGUUAGUGGAACGGUCUGGAAAGUCCGACGGUACAGGGUGAUAGUCCCGUACACCAAAAUGCACAGGCUGUGAACUCGAAGAGUAGGGCGGGACACGUGGUAUCCUGUCUGAAUAUGGGGGGACCAUCCUCCAAGGCUAAAUACUCCUGACUGACCGAUAGUGAACCAGUACCGUGAGGGAAAGGCGAAAAGAACCCCGGCGAGGGGAGUGAAAAAGAACCUGAAACCGUGUACGUACAAGCAGUGGGAGCACCUUCGGGUGUGACUGCGUACCUUUUGUAUAAUGGGUCAGCGACUUAUAUUCUGUAGCAAGGUUAACCGUAUAGGGGAGCCGCAGGGAAACCGAGUCUUAACUGGGCGUUAAGUUGCAGGGUAUAGACCCGAAACCCGGUGAUCUAGCCAUGGGCAGGUUGAAGGUUGGGUAACACUAACUGGAGGACCGAACCGACUAAUGUUGAAAAAUUAGCGGAUGACUUGUGGCUGGGGGUGAAAGGCCAAUCAAACCGGGAGAUAGCUGGUUCUCCCCGAAAGCUAUUUAGGUAGCGCCUCGUGAAUUCAUCUUCGGGGGUAGAGCACUGUUUCGGCUAGGGGGUCAUCCCGACUUACCAACCCGAUGCAAACUACGAAUACCGAAGAAUGUUAUCACGGGAGACACACGGCGGGUGCUAACGUCCGUCGUGAAGAGGGAAACAACCCAGACCGCCAGCUAAGGUCCCAAAGUCAUGGUUAAGUGGGAAACGAUGUGGGAAGGCACAGACAGCCAGGAUGUUGGCUUAGAAGCAGCCAUCAUUUAAAGAAAGCGUAAUAGCUCACUGGUCGAGUCGGCCUGCGCGGAAGAUGUAACGGGGCUAAACCAUGCACCGAAGCUGCGGCAGCGACACUAUGUGUUGUUGGGUAGGGGAGCGUUCUGUAAGCCUGCGAAGGUGUGCUGUGAGGCAUGCUGGAGGUAUCAGAAGUGCGAAUGCUGACAUAAGUAACGAUAAAGCGGGUGAAAAGCCCGCUCGCCGGAAGACCAAGGGUUCCUGUCCAACGUUAAUCGGGGCAGGGUGAGUCGACCCCUAAGGCGAGGCCGAAAGGCGUAGUCGAUGGGAAACAGGUUAAUAUUCCUGUACUUGGUGUUACUGCGAAGGGGGGACGGAGAAGGCUAUGUUAGCCGGGCGACGGUUGUCCCGGUUUAAGCAUGUAGGCUGGUUGUCCAGGCAAAUCCGGAUAAUCAAGGCUGAGGUGUGAUGACGAGGCACUACGGUGCUGAAGUAACAAAUGCCCUGCUUCCAGGAAAAGCCUCUAAGCAUCAGGUAACAUUAAAUCGUACCCCAAACCGACACAGGUGGUCAGGUAGAGAAUACCAAGGCGCUUGAGAGAACUCGGGUGAAGGAACUAGGCAAAAUGGUGCCGUAACUUCGGGAGAAGGCACGCUGGUGUGUAGGUGAAGUCCCUGCGGAUGGAGCUGAGACCAGUCGAAGAUACCAGCUGGCUGCAACUGUUUAUUAAAAACACAGCACUGUGCAAACACGAAAGUGGACGUAUACGGUGUGACGCCUGCCCGGUGCCGGAAGGUUAAUUGAUGGGGUUAUCCGUAAGGAGAAGCUCUUGAUCGAAGCCCCGGUAAACGGCGGCCGUAACUAUAACGGUCCUAAGGUAGCGAAAUUCCUUGUCGGGUAAGUUCCGACCUGCACGAAUGGCGUAAUGAUGGCCAGGCUGUCUCCACCCGAGACUCAGUGAAAUUGAACUCGCUGUGAAGAUGCAGUGUACCCGCGGCAAGACGGAAAGACCCCGUGAACCUUUACUAUAGCUUGACACUGAACAUUGAGCCUUGAUGUGUAGGAUAGGUGGGAGGCUUUGAAGCGUGGACGCCAGUCUGCGUGGAGCCAACCUUGAAAUACCACCCUUUAAUGUUUGAUGUUCUAACGUUGGCCCCUGACCGGGGUUGCGGACAGUGUCUGGUGGGUAGUUUGACUGGGGCGGUCUCCUCCCAAAGCGUAACGGAGGAGCACGAAGGUUAGCUAAUCCUGGUCGGACAUCAGGAGGUUAGUGCAAUGGCAUAAGCUAGCUUGACUGCGAGCGUGACGGCGCGAGCAGGUGCGAAAGCAGGUCAUAGUGAUCCGGUGGUUCUGAAUGGAAGGGCCAUCGCUCAACGGAUAAAAGGUACUCCGGGGAUAACAGGCUGAUACCGCCCAAGAGUUCAUAUCGACGGCGGUGUUUGGCACCUCGAUGUCGGCUCAUCACAUCCUGGGGCUGAAGUAGGUCCCAAGGGUAUGGCUGUUCGCCAUUUAAAGUGGUACGCGAGCUGGGUUUAGAACGUCGUGAGACAGUUCGGUCCCUAUCUGCCGUGGGCGCUGGAGAAUUGAGGGGGGCUGCUCCUAGUACGAGAGGACCGGAGUGGACGCAUCACUGGUGUUCGGGUUGUCAUGCCAAUGGCACUGCCCGGUAGCUAAAUGCGGAAGAGAUAAGUGCUGAAAGCAUCUAAGCACGAAACUUGCCCCGAGAUGAGUUCUCCCUGAGACUUUAAGUCUCCUGAAGGAACGUUAAAGACGAUGACGUUGAUAGGCCGGGUGUGUAAGCGCAGCGAUGCGUUGAGCUAACCGGUACUAAUGAACCGUGAGGCUUAACCUU
Molecule: ribosomal RNA, 2900 nt
Filed under: Klebsiella pneumoniae
Lineage: Bacteria; Pseudomonadati; Pseudomonadota; Gammaproteobacteria; Enterobacterales; Enterobacteriaceae
Description: bacterial LSU rRNA
Rfam family: Bacterial large subunit ribosomal RNA
Source: RNAcentral